UUCAUAAAUCUGAACCCUUUCAAUACAAACUAUUGAAAAUUGACUAGCUAAUCUUCUGUAAUGCUAUUAUGAGGAUUGCCCUUUGAGGUUUAUAGCAAUAGGUCACCCUAUGGUUGGUCACAUGCAUUUAUGGA
Molecule: non-coding RNA, 134 nt
Filed under: unclassified sequences
Description: Staphylococcus-1 RNA
Rfam family: Staphylococcus-1 RNA
About the family: Firmicute (1 example).
Source: Rfam by way of RNAcentral